Molecule: non-coding RNA, 102 nt
Filed under: Streptomyces sp.
Lineage: Bacteria; Bacillati; Actinomycetota; Actinomycetes; Kitasatosporales; Streptomycetaceae
Also listed under: 1 other name
Description: Glycine sequence
Rfam family: Glycine riboswitch aptamer
About the family: This family represents the bacterial glycine riboswitch. Glycine riboswitches usually consist of two metabolite-binding aptamers domains with similar structures in tandem. The aptamers cooperatively bind glycine to regulate the expression of downstream genes.
Source: RNAcentral
UGAAUCCGCGCGGGAGAGUCCCCAGUACGUCUGCGUCGCUGGGGCGCCGAAGGAGCAAGUCCCUCCCUUGAAUCUCUCAGGCCCCGUUACCGCGCGGGCGAG